UUAAAAGCAGAGGAACCGGCCACGCAAAAUAGGGUGUGCGCUUGCGACCGAGGUCGGAAAUGCGGCUUGACAACGUUUCCGUCUUUCGUGCAAGGCCUCAAUCUCCCCCUCUGCGAGGUUCGAGCUCCUCAGGGCAAGAGAUCGAGCAGAGAUGAACUCUGUCCAGCACCUUCUACUUCCUUCCUUCAGAACGAGACAAGAAACGAGCCAUCUCAAUAGCGUGGCCUUUUGAAGACAGGUGAACCAAUUAGGUUUCUGACAGUUUCUAUCUCCCUUUCCACUUCUUCCUCUCAAAAUAAUCACAUCAGGCUUUGAAACCAAAUGUCUAGGAACAGGGACACAGCCUGGCGGAUGUCAAGCGGCUACGGAAAAAGUAUCGAUAAGAAACGCCCACCUGACCAAGGGGAGGAGCAGGCCCCCGAGGCCAAGACACUAUCUUUAGGAGCCGGUGCUUGAGAUUUCCAGGGAUGUGGCCAUGUCCAGUCCCCUCCUCCCGACCCCCCAAAACAGGGGACAUCGUUGUCACCACAUGUGCCCAGUAGCUAAAAAGACGUGACCCGAGCUCUCCCAGUUCCGGGGAUGAACGAAAGCAACAGUGCCAUAGCACCUCUCCGCCUCGUCCGGUCCCUCCACCCCCCCACCCUCGGCCCAGCAGACCUCACCAUUGUCUCCGUGGUGAACUUCCCCGGAAACCAGUGCUGAGGAAGGGCUAUUUUCGUAACACCGGGAUACAACACCUGAGUGAAGGUCGGAGGUGGAUUUUCAGAGCCCAAAGGCCUUGUGCUCGUUAACGGUGCACGGGGCAGCGGUCUAAGAGAGAGAACCUUGCCAGGGAGUCAGGGACAAAAGGUCCCAUUUCCCACCAGGAAAAAGGGCACAAACCUCGCAGAGAAGGCAAAUACUAACACAUGCGCUGUAAAGAAAAUGGACUUCACCGCCUACAAGAGAGACCUGAGCUCGCUCAGAAGGCACUUCCCAGAGAGAGUCCAGGCAGCCCAAGCGCCGGAAUGGUCUCAUGACCCAACCAUGCACUUGGGAUUGGGAUGGACUGCUGGGAACUUUAAGUGCCCCCGGGACCUGAAGAUCCAGAUUUAGGAGCAAUGCAUGUAGGGCUGAUGACAUACAGCUGCAAAGUAAUACUCUUUGGUUCCUCAUUUUGCUCCAGAUUCCUCACCUACAUACAGUGUGGGUAGUAAUCUCUGACUUACCUAGAAGAUAGCAUAAGGAUCAAGCUAAACACUGCACAGACAAGUAUUUUGCAACACGUACAAAUAUAUGCUUUCACCGCCAUAUGUGCUGCCUGGGUGAAUUAUUUUUACGGAGACCUGGGAAAAGUGGCUCUUGUCAUCUUUGUCCAACGGACGACUCUCGAAGACUGUCCAGCUGUGAGGCAGGUGACUAAUAAUCUGUUCCCUUCGAAGCGAUAUAUUGAUAGCAAAGGACUUGUCGAGACUGAGCUGAUGCAAGACCAAAACUGAGCAAAUACGUAACAUCUCGGAGCCUCGAGUUUCCACAUCUGUCAAAUGGUACCAAUAACUCAGCCCUCUCAGGUUUCCAAAGAUUAAAGGAGGUUGCGUAUGUCAACAGCUUUCUCACGAGGAGAACUUGAGGCAUGUCAAGGCUCUUGUUCCUUUGUUUUGCAUUCAAGCACUGGAAUUAAAAAACGUGAAAGAAUAGACCGUUCGCCCCGGGCCUGAAAUUCUCAAAGAAGGUAUGGGGGCCAAAGAUCUCCCCAGGCAGAAAAUGCAUGUCCCCCAAAGGGAGAAGGCAGGCCUGAUCCAGCUUUGAUCGGGGACCCUGGCUGAGACUCACCAUGGAAGAGUCAUUCUUGGGGUCCACCUGAUUCUCAGUCCAGACCCUGGCCCCUUGGAAUGCCGUCCAUCUCCUAAGGCCAAGUCCUCCCUCCUUUGUAAGAUAAUCUCAGGCCUCCUCGCUUGCAAUCUCCAUGGUUUGCCCAGUUCUCCCACCUUUUUAAAAAAUUUUUUUUGGUUUCACUAUAAAAUAUACUUGAGAGUU
Long non-coding RNA from Felis catus (domestic cat), 2016 nucleotides. RefSeq lists it as uncharacterized. The transcript is spliced from 2 exons. The record is from RefSeq and is a predicted model, not a curated record. Lineage: Eukaryota; Metazoa; Chordata; Mammalia; Carnivora; Felidae.